UUUUUUUUUUUUACAGGACUGUGCAUGGGCAAGAAAACUUGACAGACUGUUGGUAUGGAUGUCAAUGUAUCACAUUGUGAUUUUUGAAAAAACUAAUGAAGUAGAAGUGGUGCCUUCCAAUUGGGUCAAAGAAAAUUAAUGUAUGUGGCCACCAAAUAAAGUGGAUGUUGUAAAAGCCACAAAAAAUAAGGAGCAACCUGGGGAAGGAUGGACUCCACACAGGGUCAGAAUUAUAUUUACAUCGAACAGUUACGGUGAGGCAAGAUUAAAACUACCUGAAGCUGUCGAACACACAGACCUUGCAACAGAUAGGGAGGAUUCCCCAAUUAAACCCAAACGAAGAAGAAUGCCAAAGAACCUACUUUUUCCUGGAGAAGAUGAGGAUGAAGAAAUCAGUGUUGAUCAGUCAAAAUAUAAUGCAAAGAAAAGAAAAGAAGAACUGCCUAGAGCUCCGAAGAUCUUUCACUCAUUUUCUUCUGACUCCCAAAGGAUGCAGAAGACUGGAUCUACUCAGAAGUCUGUGUUUGCCAAAUCUAAGCCAACAAAAUUUUUACCAAAUAUCCCUCCUAAUUCCCAAAGUCAUCAUACUUCUAAUGUACCUAAGAGGACCCACACACAUUCUGACCAGUCUCGAAGAAACCAUGCAACUGCUGAUCCACUUGAGAGGAGCCGCAUUAACCCUGACUCGCUUCAGAGAAGCCGC
This is a long non-coding RNA of Carassius carassius (crucian carp), 703 nucleotides long. RefSeq lists it as uncharacterized. The record is from RefSeq and is a predicted model, not a curated record. The transcript is spliced from 6 exons. Lineage: Eukaryota; Metazoa; Chordata; Actinopteri; Cypriniformes; Cyprinidae.